Molecule: ribosomal RNA, 380 nt
Filed under: uncultured archaeon
Lineage: Archaea
Description: bacterial SSU rRNA
Rfam family: Archaeal small subunit ribosomal RNA
Source: RNAcentral
UAAAACCAGCACCUCAAGUGGUCAGGAUGAUUAUUGGGCCUAAAGCAUCCGUAGCCGGCUUUGUAAGUUUUCGGUUAAAUCUAUGUGCUCAACGCAUGGGCUGCCGAAAAUACUGCAUAGCUAGGGAGUGGGAGAGGUAGACGGUACUCAGUAGGAAGGGGUAAAAUCCUUUGAUCUAUUGAUGACCACCUGUGGCGAAGGCGGUCUGCCAGAACACGUUCGACGGUGAGGGAUGAAAGCUGGGGGAGCAAACCGGAUUAGAUACCCGGGUAGUCCCAGCCGUAAACGAUGCAGACUCGAUGAUGCAUUGGCAUAUAGCCAGUGCAGUGUCGCAGGGAAGCCGUUAAGUCUGCCGCCUGGGAAGUACGUACGCAAGUAUG